UGGCGUGCUAUAAUGCAAGUCGAGCGAACUGAUUAGAAGCUUGCUUCUAUGACGUUAGCGGCGGACGGGUGAGUAACACGUGGGCAACCUGCCUGUAAGACUGGGAUAACUUCGGGAAACCGAAGCUAAUACCGGAUAGGAUCUUCUCCUUCAUGGGAGAUGAUUGAAAGAUGGUUUCGGCUAUCACUUACAGAUGGGCCCGCGGUGCAUUAGCUAGUUGGUGAGGUAACGGCUCACCAAGGCAACGAUGCAUAGCCGACCUGAGAGGGUGAUCGGCCACACUGGGACUGAGACACGGCCCAGACUCCUACGGGAGGCAGCAGUAGGGAAUCUUCCGCAAUGGACGAAAGUCUGACGGAGCAACGCCGCGUGAGUGAUGAAGGCUUUCGGGUCGUAAAACUCUGUUGUUAGGGAAGAACAAGUACGAGAGUAACUGCUCGUACCUUGACGGUACCUAACCAGAAAGCCACGGCUAACUACGUGCCAGCAGCCGCGGUAAUACGUAGGUGGCAAGCGUUAUCCGGAAUUAUUGGGCGUAAAGCGCGCGCAGGCGGUUUCUUAAGUCUGAUGUGAAAGCCCACGGCUCAACCGUGGAGGGUCAUUGGAAACUGGGGAACUUGAGUGCAGAAGAGAAAAGCGGAAUUCCACGUGUAGCGGUGAAAUGCGUAGAGAUGUGGAGGAACACCAGUGGCGAAGGCGGCUUUUUGGUCUGUAACUGACGCUGAGGCGCGAAAGCGUGGGGAGCAAACAGGAUUAGAUACCCUGGUAGUCCACGCCGUAAACGAUGAGUGCUAAGUGUUAGAGGGUUUCCGCCCUUUAGUGCUGCAGCUAACGCAUUAAGCACUCCGCCUGGGGAGUACGGUCGCAAGACUGAAACUCAAAGGAAUUGACGGGGGCCCGCACAAGCGGUGGAGCAUGUGGGUUUAAUUCGAAGCAACGCGAAGAACCUUACCAGGUCUUGACAUCCUCUGACACUCUAGAGAUAGAGCGUUCCCCUUCGGGGACAGAGUGACAGGUGGUGCAUGGUUGUCGUCAGCUCGUGUCGUGAGAUGUGGUAGUCCGCACGAGCGCAACCCUUGAUCUAGUUGCCAGCAUUAGUUGGCACUCCUAAGUGACUGCCGGUGACAACCGAGA
RNAcentral lists this ribosomal RNA (1134 nucleotides) under Bacillus sp. (in: firmicutes). RNAcentral describes it as "bacterial SSU rRNA". It matches the Rfam family "Bacterial small subunit ribosomal RNA", at positions 40 to 1167 of the family's 1533-position model. Lineage: Bacteria; Bacillati; Bacillota; Bacilli; Caryophanales; Bacillaceae. The record is from RNAcentral.